UAAACAGAGUCUAACCAUGGACCCUAUUAUACUUAAUGAUUCAUUUUAAUCAGUUUUUGGUUUCAUUUUCCUAACUUUUGUGUGUAUUGUUUCAUACAUAAAUGAUUUUAUCAUUUUUACCCAUUAGAAAAACUACAGACUCAUAGCUGCAAGACAGUCUGAAUUAGAGGUUCUUCUCCAAGAAGAACCUAUCCUCAGCCCAGUGGGGACUGCUUUAGAGGCACUUGAGGAGGAGGUCAGGGCCCUCAGGGAAGAGAAUGAAAGACUGCAGGACCAGCAGAGUGUAGGAUCUUCUGCAGCCAGUAAAGAUCUUGAGACCCAAGUCAAGGCUUUACAUAAGAACACCAGGCUGCGCAAAAUGGCAGUUAAAGGCAACUAUCUCUUGUAGAUUAAAAUAGUGAUUCUUUUAGAUUGAAUAAAUCACGUCUCCUUAUUUCUAGUGUUAUUGUUAGAGAUGUAUCUGUGUCUACAUUUUUAGGAGAUAUCUACUGAUGUAGUAUAGGGUUUCCUGUAGGAAAAAAUUUAGCCUAGGGCAAAACACUGUAGCGCCACUGAGGCAAAAUUGGUCUGGCAGAAAUGCUAUAAUGCUUUCUGAAACCCUUACCAAAACAUUUUGCUACACUUUGAGACACCAAAAAAUGAGCAGAGGUGUAUUUUGAGUUUUACAUGUUAUGUAUUUAUAACUUGUUUGGAGUCCUGUUGUGGUACAUUCGGUGGGCCAUAUUUUCCAGAAAUUCCAUCAUUUCGGACAAGAUCACAGACGCCCCUUUUCCACCGAGGCAGUUUGAGUGCUGGUUCGGAGCCAGAGCCUAAUUUAGAACCAGUUCUUUCUGUUUCGACAGCCAAAGCACCGGCUCUGAACCAGGAAAAGUGGUUCUUAAGUAGCACCAAAACGUUGCUGAUCUAGACUUAAGAACCGCUUGCGUUAAGGGCUGGGGCGGGGCUACUGUUAGCGCAUUUGAUAAUGUACCGUAAGUAUACUAAUGUUUAAUACACUUUUACUUUACCACGAUAUGAUACAUUAUCAGCACACAUGAUAGUAGGUAGCUAAAGGCUAAGGCUAACUUUUUUCUGGGUUAAUGAUAAAAUAACGUUAUGUACUUUCUCGAUUACAACCUCCGUUUAUACAAAUUACAUGGAGCUGCACGUACACGUUGGAUUCGCCUCAUUUGGAUGUUAAUGUAGGUUCACAAAGCCAUGAGAAUUAACAGUAAAGCAACAUCCGGCAUUGUUGAUGUGUUUGUGUUUGCCGCUGCUGCGCUAACGGUGCUGGCACACGUGACAUGUACACAGUGACGUCAGACUCGGCUCUGUGAUGCUCUCUAGCCGGUGGAAAGGCAAACCAGUUCUUAGAAUGUUCGGCAGUGGAACCAACUUUGAACCAGCACCGGUGCUAGCUCUGAACCAGCACCCAGUUCUUUUUGGUGGAAAAGGGGCAAGAGAGCUCAAGCAAUGGAAAUGAAACCGAAUAUGAGGCCAGUGUUGCUCUACCAUCACCUCCUCAAUCCACAUCUCCCAAACCAACAUCAGUGCCACUAGGGAAUGAUGACUCCACCAGAUUGUCUGCCCAUUAUUGGCACCCUCCUGCUGGGCCUGUUCAGCAUUGAUGUCCUACUGAAGUCCAACCUGACGGGAGGGGUCAACAAGGUCGAUCCAUCUGCAAAAAGAUGCCAGCCUCUGGACCCCAAGAAGCUUACAGCUUUACUCAAUGCAGUUGUUCAGCAACACCCAGGGGUGAAGAUUCCAGACAUACGAACGGCCAUAAACAGAAGGAUCUGUGAGUUAAGACACCAGGAGAAGAAAAAGUCCACUUACAACUGAAGGACUGGCCCAGGCUGGCCAACCAGAAUGAGUCUUGAUAAGUUAGCAUGCGGGAUCCAUAACACUGCACUAAAGGAUUGUCUUGAUUUUUCCACUGAGGGAUUGUUCUGUUUUUGUUGCACUAAAGACUUUUUUAAUAUAUUAUUAUGAUGAAAAACAAUUGUCCUUUAGGAAAUGUUUUAUUAAUUCUUUUAAGUAUUUUUGUUCAUUUAUAGUUGUUGCCAUCUAUUGGAUCACAUAAAAAUAUCACAUGUUUAAAAGAAGAAAAAAAAAAAGAUUUUAUAGCCUUGAACUAAUUAUGAUAUGGCAUAUAUGGCACAUCCCUACCAGCAAACCAGCCGUUUGCCGAGCACAUUAUGUACAUUAUGUGUACAUAAGCUUCAGUUGG
Tachysurus vachellii is the source of this 2209-nucleotide long non-coding RNA. RefSeq lists it as uncharacterized. The transcript is spliced from 3 exons. Lineage: Eukaryota; Metazoa; Chordata; Actinopteri; Siluriformes; Bagridae. The record is from RefSeq and is a predicted model, not a curated record.